RNAcentral lists this ribosomal RNA (584 nucleotides) under uncultured bacterium. Its description in RNAcentral is "bacterial SSU rRNA". It matches the Rfam family "Bacterial small subunit ribosomal RNA", at positions 338 to 916 of the family's 1533-position model. The record is from RNAcentral.
CCUACGGGAGGCAGCAGUGGGGAAUUUUGGACAAUGGACGCAAGUCUGAUCCAGCCAUGCCGCGUGCGGGAAGAAGGCCUUCGGGUUGUAAACCGCUUUUGUCAGGGAAGAAACGGGUUUCUCUAAUACAGAGACCUAAUGACGGUACCUGAAGAAUAAGCACCGGCUAACUACGUGCCAGCAGCCGCGGUAAUACGUAGGGUGCAAGCGUUAAUCGGAAUUACUGGGCGUAAAGCGUGCGCAGGCGGUUAUGCAAGACAGAUGUGAAAUCCCCGGGCUCAACCUGGGAACUGCAUUUGUGACUGCAUGGCUAGAGUACGGUAGAGGGGGAUGGAAUUCCGCGUGUAGCAGUGAAAUGCGUAGAUAUGCGGAGGAACACCGAUGGCGAAGGCAAUCCCCUGGACCUGUACUGACGCUCAUGCACGAAAGCGUGGGGAGCAAACAGGAUUAGAUACCCUGGUAGUCCACGCCCUAAACGAUGUCAACUGGUUGUUGGGAGGGUUUCUUCUCAGUAACGAAGCUAACGCGUGAAGUUGACCGCCUGGGGAGUACGGCCGCAAGGUUGAAACUUAAUGAAUUGACGG